UGGCUCAGAGUGAACGCUGGCGGCAGGCCUAAUACAUGCAAGUCGAACGGCAGCACAGCAGAGCUUGCUCUGUGGGUGGCGAGUGGCGGACGGGUGAGGAAUACGUGGGAAUCUGCCCAGUCGUGGGGAUAACGUAGGGAAACUUACGCUAAUACCGCAUGCGCCCUUCGGGGGAAAGCCGGGGACCUUCGGGCCUGGCGCGAUUGGAUGAGCCCACGUCGGAUUAGCUAGUUGGCGGGGUAAAGGCCCACCAAGGCGACGAUCCGUAGCUGGUCUGAGAGGAUGAUCAGCCACACUGGAACUGAGACACGGUCCAGACUCCUACGGGAGGCAGCAGUAGGGAAUAUUGGACAAUGGGCGCAAGCCUGAUCCAGCCAUGCCGCGUGAGUGAAGAAGGCCCUCGGGUUGUAAAGCUCUUUUGUCCGGAAAGAAAAGCGCCGGGUUAAUACCCUGGUGUCCUGACGGUACCGGAAGAAUAAGCACCGGCUAACUUCGUG
Molecule: ribosomal RNA, 497 nt
Filed under: uncultured bacterium
Lineage: Bacteria
Description: bacterial SSU rRNA
Rfam family: Bacterial small subunit ribosomal RNA
Source: RNAcentral